UACAUGGGGUGCAAACGUUGCUCGGAAUUAUUGGGCGUAAAGCGCGCGUAGGCGGUUACUUAAGUCGGAUGUGAAAGCCCUCGGCUUAACUGGGGAAGUGCACCCGAAACUGAGUAGCUAGAGUACGAAAGAGGGUCGCGGAAUUCCCGGUGUAGAGGUGAAAUUCGUAGAUAUCGGGAGGAACACCGGUGGCGAAGGCGGCGACCUGGGUCGAGACUGACGCUGAGGCGCGAAAGCGUGGGGAGCAAACAGG
RNAcentral lists this ribosomal RNA (253 nucleotides) under uncultured bacterium. Its description in RNAcentral is "partial 16S ribosomal RNA". It matches the Rfam family "Bacterial small subunit ribosomal RNA", at positions 524 to 776 of the family's 1533-position model. The record is from RNAcentral.